UUUGAUCCUGGCUCAGGAUGAACGCUAGCGGCAGGCUUAACACAUGCAAGUCGAGGGGUAACAGAGGUAGCUUGCUACUUGCUGACGACCGGCGCACGGGUGAGUAACGCGUAUACAAUUUACCUUAUACAGGGGGAUAGCCUUUAGAAAUGAAGAUUAAUACCCCAUGGUUUGUUUGAAUCUCCUGAUUUUAAUAGUAAAGAUUUAUCGGUAUAAGAUGAGUAUGCGUUCUAUUAGCUAGAUGGUAAGGUAACGGCUUACCAUGGCAACGAUAGAUAGGGGCCCUGAGAGGGGGAUCCCCCACACUGGUACUGAGACACGGACCAGACUCCUACGGGAGGCAGCAGUGAGGAAUAUUGGGCAAUGGAGGCAACUCUGACCCAGCCAUGCCGCGUGAAGGAAGAAGGCCCUAUGGGUUGUAAACUUCUUUUAUAGAGGAAGAAACCCUCCCACGUGUGGGAGGCUGACGGUACUCUACGAAUAAGCACCGGCUAACUCCGUGCCAGCAGCCGCGGUAAUA
Molecule: ribosomal RNA, 520 nt
Filed under: uncultured bacterium
Lineage: Bacteria
Description: bacterial SSU rRNA
Rfam family: Bacterial small subunit ribosomal RNA
Source: RNAcentral